This 297-nucleotide long non-coding RNA is filed under the name Pan troglodytes (chimpanzee). Its description in RNAcentral is "long non-coding RNA NONPTRT002342". The record is from RNAcentral. Lineage: Eukaryota; Metazoa; Chordata; Mammalia; Primates; Hominidae.
GGAGGGCUAAGGGCUGCCUUCUAUCGUGCCAUUUCCUAUUUAAACAAAGGCUUUGUGCUGUGAUACCACUAGGCGUUUAUGUUCACUCUGACCCCAGAAUCCUUUCUUCUCUCUUCAUGUGUUGUGCUUUGUAGUCUGUAGCCUCAGGUAGUCUGGUUAGUUCAGUGGUUUGGAGCUCAGCACCGAUAAGAUCAAAAUCCUUUGCUGAAACUGUUAAAGAAAAAAUUUUUCAAUGAUACUUGUCAAAGCACUGUAAGGAGAAGAUCCAGCUGCAUAUAUAAUUGUGCACUCCUGAGG